GACGAACGCUGGCGGCGUGCUUAACACAUGCAAGUCGAGCGGUGAACCUCCUUCGGGAGGGGAUCAGCGGCGAACGGGUGAGUAACACGUGGGCAACCUGCCCUCAGCUCUGGGAUAACUCCGGGAAACCGGGGCUAAUACCGGAUAUGACUUCAGAAGACAUCUUCUGUAGUGGAAAGAUUUAUCGGCUGAGGAUGGGCCCGCGGCCUAUCAGCUUGUUGGUGGGGUAGUGGCCCACCAAGGCGACGACGGGUAGCCGGCCUGAGAGGGCGACCGGCCACACUGGGACUGAGACACGGCCCAGACUCCUACGGGAGGCAGCAGUGGGGAAUAUUGCGCAAUGGGCGAAAGCCUGACGCAGCGACGCCGCGUGAGGGAUGACGGCCU
This 387-nucleotide ribosomal RNA is filed under the name uncultured bacterium. Its description in RNAcentral is "bacterial SSU rRNA". It matches the Rfam family "Bacterial small subunit ribosomal RNA", at positions 28 to 417 of the family's 1533-position model. The record is from RNAcentral.